RNAcentral lists this ribosomal RNA (253 nucleotides) under uncultured bacterium. Its description in RNAcentral is "partial 16S ribosomal RNA". It matches the Rfam family "Bacterial small subunit ribosomal RNA", at positions 524 to 776 of the family's 1533-position model. The record is from RNAcentral.
UACAGAGGGUGCAAGCGUUAUCCGGAUUUACUGGGUUUAAAGGGUGCGUAGGUGGGUAGGUAAGUCAGUGGUGAAAUCUUCGAGCUUAACUCGGAAACUGCCAUUGAUACUAUUUAUCUUGAAUACUUUGGAGGUAAGCGGAAUAUGUCAUGUAGCGGUGAAAUGCUUAGAUAUGACAUAGAACACCAAUUGCGAAGGCAGCUUACUACACAGUUAUUGACACUGAGGCACGAAAGCGUGGGGAUCAAACAGG